GGAGGAGUCGCCUAGCUUGGUCGAGGGCGCGCGACUGGAAAUCGCGUAACGGUCAAAAGCCGUUCGAGGGUUCGAAUCCCUCCUCCUCCGCCA
RNAcentral lists this transfer RNA (93 nucleotides) under Clostridiales bacterium. Its description in RNAcentral is "tRNA-Ser". It matches the Rfam family "tRNA". From Rfam's summary of the family: Transfer RNA (tRNA) molecules are approximately 80 nucleotides in length. Their secondary structure includes four short double-helical elements and three loops (D, anti-codon, and T loops). Further hydrogen bonds mediate the characteristic L-shaped molecular structure. tRNAs have two regions of fundamental functional importance: the anti-codon, which is responsible for specific mRNA codon recognition, and the 3' end, to which the tRNAs corresponding amino acid is attached (by aminoacyl-tRNA synthetases). tRNAs cope with the degeneracy of the genetic code in two manners: having more than one tRNA (with a specific anti-codon) for a particular amino acid; and 'wobble' base-pairing, i.e. permitting non-standard base-pairing at the 3rd anti-codon position. RNAcentral also lists the same sequence under 7 other names. The record is from RNAcentral. Lineage: Bacteria; Bacillati; Bacillota; Clostridia; Eubacteriales.